This 268-nucleotide long non-coding RNA is filed under the name Bos taurus (domestic cattle). RNAcentral describes it as "long non-coding RNA NONBTAT001913". Lineage: Eukaryota; Metazoa; Chordata; Mammalia; Artiodactyla; Bovidae. The record is from RNAcentral.
AUUAUGUCUUCCCAGAUCCCUGACUGUCAAGUGAGAAGUCUCUGCACAAUUCCUUUCAAACUAAUUUGAUUUGAUUCCUGGUUGCUCUCUGUGAGCUAGUAACCAUCAUCAAGAAUCUUGCUAAGUCCUUGUCCUUGAGUCUGGAUCUGACCCUUGUGAUUUCUCUUAGCAACAGGUCACAUUUGGCCCAUUCCCCUCCUGCUCAGCUUCAUGGCUUCCACAAUGGACUGUCUGUGAUAAUGUCCUUAACCUCAGUUCCUCCAGAAAC